Molecule: ribosomal RNA, 518 nt
Filed under: uncultured bacterium
Lineage: Bacteria
Description: bacterial SSU rRNA
Rfam family: Bacterial small subunit ribosomal RNA
Source: RNAcentral
GAGUUUGAUCCUGGCUCAGGACGAACGCUGGCGGCGUGCCUAACACAUGCAAGUCGAACGGAACUUCUUUAAAGGAUUUCUUCGGAAUGAUUUUGAUUAAGUUUAGUGGCGGACGGGUGAGUAACGCGUGAGUAACCUGCCUCUAAGAGGGGGAUAGCAGCUGGAAACGGCUGGUAAUACCGCAUAAGCGCACAAUGUUGCAUGACAUGGUGUGAAAAACUCCGGUGGUAUAAGAUGGACCCGCGUCUGAUUAGCUAGUUGGUGAGAUAACAGCCCACCAAGGCGACGAUCAGUAGCCGACCUGAGAGGGUGACCGGCCACAUUGGGACUGAGACACGGCCCAGACUCCUACGGGAGGCAGCAGUGGGGAAUAUUGCACAAUGGAGGAAACUCUGAUGCAGCGACGCCGCGUGAGUGAAGAAGUAAUUCGGUAUGUAAAGCUCUAUCAGCAGGGAAGAUAAUGACGGUACCUGACUAAGAAGCUCCGGCUAAAUACGUGCCAGCCGCCGCGGUAAUAC